GUCAGCAGACACAUUCCAGCCAAUCAGACCCUCCCUCCCAGACCCUCCCACAUCCUGGACAGCAUCCAUUUUACAUUCAUUGUGAAGCUGCAUUCUUAGUGAGCUGUCCACGAGGUGGGAGGGUCUGGGAGGGAGGGUCUGCUGCUGAUUGGCUGGAAUGUGUCUGCUGAC
This 171-nucleotide microRNA precursor is filed under the name Pelobates cultripes (western spadefoot toad). The record is from RNAcentral. Lineage: Eukaryota; Metazoa; Chordata; Amphibia; Anura; Pelobatidae.